This 473-nucleotide ribosomal RNA is filed under the name uncultured bacterium. RNAcentral describes it as "partial 16S ribosomal RNA". It matches the Rfam family "Bacterial small subunit ribosomal RNA", at positions 29 to 507 of the family's 1533-position model. The record is from RNAcentral.
AGUGAACGCUGGCGGUAGGCCUAACACAUGCAAGUCGAACGGCAGCACAGUAAGAGCUUGCUCUUACGGGUGGCGAGUGGCGGACGGGUGAGGAAUACAUCGGAAUCUACUUUUUCGUGGGGGAUAACGUAGGGAAACUUACGCUAAUACCGCAUACGACCUACGGGUGAAAGCAGGGGAUCUUCGGACCUUGCGCGAUUGAAUGAGCCGAUGUCGGAUUAGCUAGUUGGCGGGGUAAUGGCCCACCAAGGCGACGAUCGGUAGCUGGUCUGGGAGGAUGGACGGCCACAUUGGGACUGAGAGACGGCGCAGACUCCGACGGGAGGAAGCAGUGGGGAAUAUUGCACAAUGGGCGCAAGGCUGAUGCAGCGACGCCGCGGGGGGGAUGACGGCCUUCGGGUUGAAAACUCCUUUCGCUAGGGACGAAGCUUUUUGUGACGGUACCUAGAUAAGAAGCACCGGCUAACUACGUG